Sorghum bicolor (sorghum) is the source of this 521-nucleotide long non-coding RNA. RefSeq lists it as uncharacterized. The record is from RefSeq and is a predicted model, not a curated record. The transcript is spliced from 2 exons. NCBI's taxonomy places the organism in Eukaryota, Viridiplantae, Streptophyta, Magnoliopsida, Poales, Poaceae.
GAGACACACUACACUCAAACAAUCAUAUUAUUGGCAUUGGCUCUAACCUAUCACUGAUGGCGAAGUGCCAGGAGCUCGUGAGCAUCCAAGGACUCUUGCUGCUUUCCAUGGUUCUUCUGGCAUCCUCAACUGUUUGUGCAUGCAUAAUAAAUGGGCAAACCAAAGAGGACAUCAACACCAGGAGUGUGAUGAUGACCACGACGAGUUCAGCAAGCUACAAAAUUGGUAGUGGUGAACAUCCAUUGACAGGUGUAUGCGUUCAGAGAGAAGAUGGAGGGUGGUGGUGCGGAAACGUCCGCUUUAGGACAUAUCUGGACUGCUCAUCGUAUUGCAGGAAGCACUUUGAUGGAAAGGACAACUAAUAAGUGGUCUGUUAUCUAAUGAUGCAUGUACCAUGCAUGUGGUUACAAUUUAGAUGAAAAUCAGUUUCUGGAUAUAUGUAAUGUAUUCAAGAGUUCUUGUAACAUGAUCAUAUGUAUAUCCAGCUAUAAUCUAAUAUAAUUUUUCUUUCAUCUAAAAAA